This 367-nucleotide long non-coding RNA is filed under the name Mustela putorius furo (domestic ferret). Its description in RNAcentral is "lncRNA (ENSMPUG00000029898.1)". The record is from RNAcentral. Lineage: Eukaryota; Metazoa; Chordata; Mammalia; Carnivora; Mustelidae.
AGUCAGGGAGGUAUCUGAAACAUUGUAAUACAGAAGGAGCUUCAUCUGUUUAAGCUUCAGGAGAAAAUCUCUUCUUUGGAUAUAGGCUUUAAUUGUUGCAAUGCCUGCUCUUCUGAAUAUAAAAGGCCCUUUUGAGGACCAUGAGAUUAUUCUAAGGUUCUACAAGAAGAUAGAUCUUUCUUUUCUAUCUAUUCUCAAAGGACCCCUUGAAGACCAGGAAAGAGGUAUGCUGGCAAUGGUGGGAAGUAAGAGAGAAGAGAAGGAGGAAGAAAGAAAGGAGGAAAGAGAGAAGGAAUGAAAGCAUGAGAGACAGAGGAGAGAAACAUGCAGAGAUGAGAGAGGGAGACGGCCAUGUGCAGUUGGAGGC